UACGGAGGGUCCAAGCGUUAUCCGGAUUUAUUGGGUUUAAAGGGUCCGUAGGCGGAAGAAUAAGUCAGUGGUGAAAGCCUGUCGCUCAACGAUAGAAUUGCCAUUGAUACUGUUUUUCUUGAAUGCAAAUGAAGUGGGCGGAAUGUGUCAUGUAGAGGUGAAAUGCUUAGAUAUGACACAGAACACCGAUUGCGAAGGCAGCUCACUAAAUUGUGAUUGACGCUGAGGGACGAAAGCGUGGGGAGCGAACAGG
RNAcentral lists this ribosomal RNA (253 nucleotides) under uncultured bacterium. RNAcentral describes it as "partial 16S ribosomal RNA". It matches the Rfam family "Bacterial small subunit ribosomal RNA", at positions 524 to 776 of the family's 1533-position model. The record is from RNAcentral.